RNAcentral lists this ribosomal RNA (332 nucleotides) under uncultured bacterium. RNAcentral describes it as "bacterial SSU rRNA". It matches the Rfam family "Bacterial small subunit ribosomal RNA", at positions 568 to 898 of the family's 1533-position model. The record is from RNAcentral.
AGCGUAGGCGGUAACUACAAGACAGGGGUCAAAUCUACCGGGCUCAACCUGGAACUUGCCUUUGUGACUGUGGUUCUUGAGUAUGGUAGAGGUUGGCGGAAUUUCCGGUGUAGCGGUGGAAUGCGUAGAGAUCGGAAAGAACACCAGAGGCGAAGGCGGCCAACUGGACCAAUACUGACGCUGAGGCUCGAAAGCGUGGGGAGCAAACAGGAUUAGAUACCCUGGUAGUCCACGCUGUAAACGAUGAACACUAGAUGUCGGGAGGGGUUCCUUCCGGUGUCGUCGCUAACGCAGUAAGUGUUCCGCCUGGGGAGUACGCUCGCAAGGGUGAA